Molecule: ribosomal RNA, 492 nt
Filed under: uncultured bacterium
Lineage: Bacteria
Description: partial 16S ribosomal RNA
Rfam family: Bacterial small subunit ribosomal RNA
Source: RNAcentral
AGUGAACGCUGGCGGUAGGCCUAACACAUGCAAGUCGAACGGCAGCACAGUAAGAGCUUGCUCUUACGGGUGGCGAGUGGCGGACGGGUGAGGAAUACAUCGGAAUCUACUUUUUCGUGGGGGAUAACGUAGGGAAACUUACGCUAAUACCGCAUACGACCUACGGGUGAAAGCAGGGGAUCUUCGGACCUUGCGCGAUUGAAUGAGCCGAUGUCGGAUUAGCUAGUUGGCGGGGUAAAGGCCCACCAAGGCGACGAUCCGUAGCUGGUCUGAGAGGAGGAUCAGCCACACUGGAACUGAGACACGGUCCAGACUCCUACGGGAGGCAGCAGUGGGGAAUAUUGGACAAUGGGCGCAAGCCUGAUCCAGCAAUACCGCGUGGGUGAAGAAGGCCUUCGGGUUGUAAAGCCCUUUUGUUGGGAAAGAAAAGCAGCAGGUUAAUACCCCGCUGUUCUGACGGUACCCAAAGAAUAAGCACCGGCUAACUUCGUG